Vicia faba (fava bean) is the source of this 249-nucleotide non-coding RNA. NCBI's taxonomy places the organism in Eukaryota, Viridiplantae, Streptophyta, Magnoliopsida, Fabales, Fabaceae. The record is from the annotation of a GenBank genome assembly.
AUGCCAAUGAGAAUGAUAUCAGUAGACCAUACAGAUCAAAGAGCUGAAGCGAUUUCGUGUUCGACAGCUACACCAAAUUGGACUGUUCAUAUUUCCGAUGCAAAAUCUGUUCUUUCUCUACUUGAUUUAACAAAAUGCAAAGAUAGCAAAAUUGGAAAACCAAUGUUGAUAGGUUUUUCUACUGGGGAGAGGAAAAGGGUUACUAUUGGACAAGAGAUGCUUAUUAAUCCAACUUUGUUUUUUAGAUGA